GCGACCUUACGACGUUUGAAGCUCCGGUUCUCGUCUGAUCACUGAAGCUGAGCUGGGUCGGACUUGGUUAAUGUUUGGACGAGCGACCGGCUGGGUAAGCCAGGUUUCUCUGUC
RNAcentral lists this ribosomal RNA (114 nucleotides) under Fasciola gigantica. The record is from RNAcentral. Lineage: Eukaryota; Metazoa; Platyhelminthes; Trematoda; Plagiorchiida; Fasciolidae.